Long non-coding RNA from Cryptotermes secundus, 1391 nucleotides. RefSeq lists it as uncharacterized. The transcript is spliced from 3 exons. The record is from RefSeq and is a predicted model, not a curated record. NCBI's taxonomy places the organism in Eukaryota, Metazoa, Arthropoda, Insecta, Blattodea, Kalotermitidae.
CAUACAUACCUUAACCAUCCUUAUCUCGUUAGUGCAUUUGACCAAAUCCACUGCUCAUUAUGUUGGGGACGGCCAGGUCGAAAGAGACAGGCAGUGCCAAACAGCGCUGAAUACGUGUACUCAUAGACAGCUGACUAUAGCCUGGUCGGUGGGGAUCUUGUGUUGAGCCCGCAGUGUCUGGCUAGAAAUGAAUGUUGAUGAGCCGACAUGGAAAGGGAGUUCGUAUGGUUAAGAAGUGAGUAACGCUCGGUUGCAGCGUCUGUUCUUUAUAAGUUCACUUCCAUUUCUCAAAUAAAAUUUAGAUAUGAAAAUUCUGGCAUAGUUUUCUAGCCUCGACGAGAUCAAUGUGAAGAUCGUUCAGUGAUAUCCCGUAAUGGAUCUCGUGGUUUCCUACCAUGUUUCGUUAUAUGUGUAUUUCUGUGAAUAUACAAGACAGUCUCGAGUGGUAUCUUCGUCCAGUAUCAGUGAUUAUAGCAUCCGUCCCGUUCAACCCGUUAAGAACUCGUGAUCUCUGACCUCUGGAAAUAGUAACGUUGGGCAGGUUACAGUGUGUUUGUGAAGUACUGUAUGGUUCCCGCAUUUAGAAAAGUUCUCGAGUCUUCACUCGCAGUAUUUGUAUAUAAAUACAGUAUAAUUACUUUAUUGUAAUAGUACGUCUAUACACAACAGAACGAUAUUGCGCGUGUUGAAUGGACGAUUGUUUGGCGGCCAUUAGACAGCAAUUUAGCAACAUUUCAACGCAUAAUGGAAGUUCAUCGCAGUAGAGCCUAGAAAGUGCGGACGUCGAGUAUGGGGACAAACGCCAGAAGCAUCAGCCAGAAUAGACGGUCUCCCGGUUGAGAGUCAUGCCCAGGAUCUCCCCAAUAAGAAGCGACACGACACCGUUACUGUUGGUGAGCUCCUUGCUCAGGGCCUGCUGAUGUACGAAAGCACCAAAUUCUGACAUAAUGAUGAUGACGGAUACAAACUUCAGAGCAGAAAGCAGGAAAUAAAAUGUCCCAGAGAAAAGCAAAAAUGAUUAAUAAUUCACUCAGCUGAAAAGUAAAGAAUCUGUGGCUUUAAUGAUAACACACCACAGAAUGCGAAGGGAACUGGACAUCGCUGCAUUACCAAUAAAGCUAAUGGAAAAGCGAAGAUAUUUUAUUAUCGAAACAACAGACUUGUAGUAGCGAUACAUCUCAGUGCUUGCCACUGAAUUCACCAGGGGAUGAAAUGUUCCACAGAGCAUUAUCUCAGAACAUCAAUUGUAUAAAGAAAAGUCAGAAAGAAACAAAGGACCAGCUCAUCGGAAAGAAAAGCCUAUAUGCAAGGAUAACUGAAGAGCAUUCUUUGUAUCAGGAUAAUUGAAAGUGAAUAAUUCUCUAAGGAAGAGUUCUAUCUUCUCGAAUAUA